GACGAACGCUGGCGGCGUGCCUAAUACAUGCAAGUAGAACGCUGAAGGAGGAGCUUGCUUCUCUGGAUGAGUUGCGAACGGGUGAGUAACGCGUAGGUAACCUGCCUGGUAGCGGGGGAUAACUAUUGGAAACGAUAGCUAAUACCGCAUAAUAGUAGAUGUCGCAUGACAUUUGCUUAAAAGGUGCAAUUGCAUCACUACCAGAUGGACCUGCGUUGUAUUAGCUAGUUGGUGAGGUAACGGCUCACCAAGGCAAGGAUACAUAGCCGACCUGAGAGGGUGAUCGGCCACACUGGGACUGAGACACGGCCCAGACUCCUACGGGAGGCAGCAGUAGGGAAUCUUCGGCAAUGGACGGAAGUCUGACCGAGCAACGCCGCGUGAGUGAAGAAGGUUUUCGGAUCGUAAAGCUCUGUUGUAGAGAAGAACGAGUGUGAGAGUGGAAAGUUCACACUGUGACGGUAUCUUACCAGAAAGGGACGGCUAACUACGUG
Molecule: ribosomal RNA, 494 nt
Filed under: uncultured bacterium
Lineage: Bacteria
Description: partial 16S ribosomal RNA
Rfam family: Bacterial small subunit ribosomal RNA
Source: RNAcentral